Molecule: ribosomal RNA, 897 nt
Filed under: uncultured archaeon
Lineage: Archaea
Description: bacterial SSU rRNA
Rfam family: Archaeal small subunit ribosomal RNA
Source: RNAcentral
CUGCUAUCAGAAUGGGGCUAAGCCAUGCGAGUCGAACGCUCUUCAACCAUGUAGAGGGCGUGGCAGACGGCUCAGUAACACGUAGCAAACCUGCCCUAUAGAUGUGGAUAACCCCGGGAAACUGGGACUAACCUACGAUAGGCCAGAACUUCUGGAAGGGGUCUUGGUCAAAAAAGGAGGCAAGCAUGUUUGUCUACCUGCUAUAGGAUGGUGCUGCGGCCGAUCAGGUUGUUGGUGGGGUAAUGGCCCACCAAGCCGAUAACCGGUACGGGCUUUGAGAGAAGGAGCCCGGAGAUGGACACUGAGACAAGGGUCCAGGCCCUACGGGGCGCAGCAGGCGCGAAAACUUCGCAAUGUGCGAAAGCACGACGAGGCUACUCUGAGUGCUAUCCGCUGAGGAUAGCUUUUCUUAGGUAUAAAUAGCCUAAGGAAUAAGGGGAGGGCAAGUCUGGUGUCAGCCGCCGCGGUAAUACCAGCUCCCUGAGUGGUCAGGACAUUUAUUGGGCCUAAAGCAUCCGUAGCCUGCCUUGUAGGUCUCCCGUUAAAUUCAACGGCUCAACCGUUGAGCUGCCGGAGAUACCGCAAGGCUAGGAGGCGGGAGAGGCGGACGGUACUCCGUGGGUAGGGGCAAAAUCCACUGAUCCACGGAAGACCACCAGUGGCGAAGGCGGUCCGCCAGAACGCGCUCGACGGUGAGGGAUGAAAGCUGGGGGAGCGAACCGGAUUAGAUACCCGGGUAGUCCCAGCUGUAAACGAUGCGAGCUAAGUGAUGGAGUGACUACGGGUUACUCCAGUGCUGCAGGAAGCCGUUAAGCUCGCCGCCUGGGGAGUACGGUCGCAAGACUGAACUUAAAGGAUUGGCGGGGGAGCACACCAGGGUGAAGCCUGCGGUUCAAA